RNAcentral lists this ribosomal RNA (493 nucleotides) under uncultured bacterium. RNAcentral's name for it is "partial 16S ribosomal RNA". It matches the Rfam family "Bacterial small subunit ribosomal RNA", at positions 28 to 507 of the family's 1533-position model. The record is from RNAcentral.
GACGAACGCUGGCGGCGUGCCUAACACAUGCAAGUUGAGCGACGAACCAGGGCUUGCCCUGGGGCAAAGCAGCGAACGGGUGAGUAACACGUGGGUAACCUACCCCGAUAACCGGGACAACCCGAGGAAACUCGGGCUAAUACCGGAUGUGCUCACUGGACUUCGGUUCAGUGCGUAAAGGAAGCUUCGGCCUCCGUAUCGGGAGGGGCCCGCGGCCCAUUAGUUUGUUGGUGAGGUAACGGCUCACCAAGACCGCGAUGGGUAGCUGGUCUGAGAGGACGAUCAGCCACACUGGGACUGAGACACGGCCCAGACUCCUACGGGAGGCAGCAGUGGGUAAUCUUGCGCAAAGCGCGAAAGCGUGACGCAGCAACGCCGCGUGGGGGAAGAAGGCCUUCGGGUUGUAAACCCCUUUCAGGAGGGACGAAGGUUCGGCGGUGAAUAGCCGUCCGGACUGACGGUACCUCCACAAGAAGCCCCGGCUAACUACGUG